Long non-coding RNA from Gadus macrocephalus (Pacific cod), 221 nucleotides. RefSeq lists it as uncharacterized. Lineage: Eukaryota; Metazoa; Chordata; Actinopteri; Gadiformes; Gadidae. The record is from RefSeq and is a predicted model, not a curated record. The transcript has 2 exons.
AAUACUAGAGCUGUCAAGCGAUUAAAAUAUUUAAUCGUGAUUAAUCGCAUUAAUGUCAUAUGCAUCGGCUUGCCUUGUGCAAAUGAUUUUUUAUUGAUAACAUUGGCAUAUACUGAUCAAAACAGGACGAUACAAAAAAAGAGCCUAUAGUGCAAUUAAACGACUGCUUUGAACAAAUGUCAUUUGAACAUAGCAGUCAGGCUAUUGCUUCUUUGUUUUGA